CCUACGGGGUGCUGCAGUGGGGAAUAUUGGACAAUGCGCGAAAGCCUGAUCCAGCCAUGCCGCGUGUGUGAAGAAGGCCUUCGGGUUGUAAAGCACUUUCAGUGGGGAAGAAAGCCUUGGGGCUAAUACCCUCGAGGAAGGACAUCACCCACAGAAGAAGCACCGGCUAACUCCGUGCCAGCAGCCGCGGUAAUACGGAGGGUGCGAGCGUUAAUCGGAAUUACUGGGCGUAAAGCGCGCGUAGGCGGUCUGAUAAGCCGGUUGUGAAAGCCCCGGGCUCAACCUGGGAACGGCAUCCGGAACUGUCAGGCUAGAGUGCAGGAGAGGAAGGUAGAAUUCCCGGUGUAGCGGUGAAAUGCGUAGAGAUCGGGAGGAAUACCAGUGGCGAAGGCGGCCUUCUGGACUGACACUGACGCUGAGGUGCGAAAGCGUGGGUAGCAAACAGGAUUAGAUACCCUGGUAGUC
RNAcentral lists this ribosomal RNA (465 nucleotides) under Vreelandella stevensii. RNAcentral describes it as "partial 16S ribosomal RNA". It matches the Rfam family "Bacterial small subunit ribosomal RNA", at positions 338 to 795 of the family's 1533-position model. Lineage: Bacteria; Pseudomonadati; Pseudomonadota; Gammaproteobacteria; Oceanospirillales; Halomonadaceae. The record is from RNAcentral.